This 127-nucleotide non-coding RNA is filed under the name Plenodomus lingam JN3. The record is from RNAcentral. Lineage: Eukaryota; Fungi; Ascomycota; Dothideomycetes; Pleosporales; Leptosphaeriaceae.
ACGAAGCACACACACAGAGCGCAUGCCCUCCCUCGGGAGCUGCGUCUCCUCGUCGUUCCAAGAACAGCUUUGGGAGAAAGUCCCCGGACAUCCGGUUCUUCGCAAUCGGCAUUUUCAGCAACGAACC